AAGUUGAUGCACAAAUUGAUGAAACAUGAAGAACAUAGCAUAGCAAGAUGGUCAAGGCAAUGGUCAACGAUGGCAGACUUGUAAUUCUGGGUUCACUAAUUGAAGCUGCGCGUUUUGGCAAGGCAAAACGAAAUGUUUUGAUUGGCUCUCAGCCAAUAAAACAGUAAUGAGCCAACCAACUUAAAUUUUUGAGUUUCUAAAACCCUAGGGGUUUCUAACAGCAAAGGCAUCAUGUUCAAUGUCCAUCAUCAUCAUAAAACAAAACAAC
This 268-nucleotide long non-coding RNA is filed under the name Lathyrus oleraceus (garden pea). Its description in RNAcentral is "Pisum sativum (pea) long non-coding RNA (PSAT_LNC005053)". Lineage: Eukaryota; Viridiplantae; Streptophyta; Magnoliopsida; Fabales; Fabaceae. The record is from RNAcentral.